AAAAGGAUAGCCUUCUAAGGAUCAUGAUUUAAAUCAUGUUGACAUUUCCUGUCUCAAGGAAUUAAAUGUUGUUAUGUUCUUCUCUUACACAUCAUUUUGUGGUAGUACAUGUUGUGUAUUUGCUUCUCUCAUGCAUCAAAUCUGUUGUAUUCCUGUAUUUUUUUCUGAUAUUCUGUCUUUUCUUGUUGCUUGUGGAAGCAUGUCACUGCCAAUGGUAGUA
Molecule: unclassified non-coding RNA, 220 nt
Filed under: Hevea brasiliensis (rubber tree)
Lineage: Eukaryota; Viridiplantae; Streptophyta; Magnoliopsida; Malpighiales; Euphorbiaceae
Source: RNAcentral